Molecule: small RNA, 154 nt
Filed under: Muricomes intestini
Lineage: Bacteria; Bacillati; Bacillota; Clostridia; Lachnospirales; Lachnospiraceae
Description: Clostridiales-1 RNA
Rfam family: Clostridiales-1 RNA
Source: RNAcentral
UGAUACCAGGGUCAAAGGGUCAUGCGUUUCAUGCUUGCAUGAAAAAGCAUGACUUUGGGACCCGCAAAACAUGAGAAAGUAGCCCGAGCAGGGCGGAUUUCGAAUGUUUUUAGGAUUGCGGGAGUACAAAGUGCGGAGCAAUCCGUAGGUAUCA